This 456-nucleotide ribosomal RNA is filed under the name uncultured bacterium. RNAcentral describes it as "bacterial SSU rRNA". It matches the Rfam family "Bacterial small subunit ribosomal RNA", at positions 30 to 504 of the family's 1533-position model. The record is from RNAcentral.
UGAACGCUGGCGGCGUGCUUAACACAUGCAAGUCGAACGAUGAAGCCUUAGCUUGCUAAGGUGGAUUAGUGGCGCACGGGUGAGUAAUAUAUAGUUAACGUGCCCCUUAGUCUGGGAUAGCCAUUGGAAACGAUGAUUAAUACCGGAUACUCCUUCUCUUCAUAAGUAGAGUUGGGAAAGUUUUUCGCUAAGGGAUCGGACUAUAUCGCAUCAGUUAGUUGGUGGGGUAAUGGCCUACCAAGACAAUGACGCGUAGCGGGUUUGAGAGGAUGAUCCGCCACACUGGUACUGAGACACGGACCAGACUCCUACGGGAGGCAGCAGUGAGGAAUAUUGCACAAUGGGGGAAACCCUGAUGCAGCAACGCCGCGUGGAGGAUGACGCAUUUCGGUGUGUAAACUCCUUUUAUAUGUCAAGAAAAUGACGGUAGCAUAUGAAUAAGCACCGGCUAACUCC